This 486-nucleotide ribosomal RNA is filed under the name Mesorhizobium sp. RNAcentral describes it as "bacterial SSU rRNA". It matches the Rfam family "Bacterial small subunit ribosomal RNA", at positions 860 to 1351 of the family's 1533-position model. The record is from RNAcentral. Lineage: Bacteria; Pseudomonadati; Pseudomonadota; Alphaproteobacteria; Hyphomicrobiales; Phyllobacteriaceae.
UUAAGCUUCCCGCCUGGGGAGUACGGUCGCAGAUUAAAACUCAAAGGAAUUGACGGGGGCCCACAAGCGGUGGAGCAUGUGGUUUAAUUGAAGCAACGCGCAGAACCUUACCAGCCCUUGACAUCCCGGUCGCGGUUACCAGAGAUGGUUUCCUUCAGUUCGCUGGACCGGAGACAGGUGCUGCAUGGCUGUCGUCAGCUCGUGUCGUGAGAUGUUGGGUUAAGUCCCGCAACGAGCGCAACCCUCGCCCUUAGUUGCCAUCAUUCAGUUGGGCACUCUAAGGGGACUGCCGGUGAUAAGCCGAGAGGAAGGUGGGGAUGACGUCAAGUCCUCAUGGCCCUUACGGGCUGGGCUACACACGUGCUACAAUGGCGGUGACAGUGGCAGCGACCUCGCGAGAGGUAGCUAAUCCCAAAAACCGUUCAGUCGGAUGUAUUGCACCUCGAGUCAGAGCGGACGCAUGCAGUCACUAACCUCGACGAAACA